RNAcentral lists this ribosomal RNA (497 nucleotides) under uncultured bacterium. Its description in RNAcentral is "partial 16S ribosomal RNA". It matches the Rfam family "Bacterial small subunit ribosomal RNA", at positions 28 to 507 of the family's 1533-position model. The record is from RNAcentral.
GAUGAACGCUGGCGGCGUGCCUAAUACAUGCAAGUCGAGCGAACGGACGAGAAGCUCGCUUCUCUGAUGUUAGCGGCGGACGGGUGAGUAACACGUGGAUAACCUACCUAUAAGACUGGGAUAACUUCGGGAAGCCGGAGCUAAUACCGGAUAAUAUUUUGAACCGCAUGGUUCAAAAGUGAAAGACGGUCUUGCUGUCACUUAUAGAUGGAUCCGCGCUGCAUUAGCUAGUUGGUAAGGUAACGGCUUACCAAGGCAACGAUGCAUAGCCGACCUGAGAGGGUGAUCGGCCACACUGGAACUGAGACACGGUCCAGACUCCUACGGGAGGCAGCAGUAGGGAAUCUUCCGCAAUGGGCGAAAGCCUGACGGAGCAACGCCGCGUGAGUGAUGAAGGUCUUCGGAUCGUAAAACUCUGUUAUUAGGGAAGAACAUAUGUGUAAGUAACUGUGCACAUCUUGACGGUACCUAAUCAGAAAGCCACGGCUAACUACGUG